GACGAACGCUGGCGGCGUGCCUAAUACAUGCAAGUUGAGCGAUGAAGAUUGGUGCUUGCACCAAUUUGAAGAGCAGCGAACGGGUGAGUAACGCGUGGGGAAUCUGCCUUUGAGCGGGGGACAACAUUUGGAAACGAAUGCUAAUACCGCAUAACAACUUUAAACAUAAGUUUUAAGUUUGAAAGAUGCAAUUGCAUCACUCAAAGAUGAUCCCGCGUUGUAUUAGCUAGUUGGUGAGGUAAAGGCUCACCAAGGCGAUGAUACAUAGCCGACCUGAGAGGGUGAGCGGCCACAUUGGGACUGAGACACGGCCCAAACUCCUACGGGAGGCAGCAGUAGGGAAUAUUCGGCAAUGGACGAAAGUCUGACCGAGCAACGCCGCGUGAGUGAAGAAGGUUUUCGGAUCGUAAAACUCUGUUGGUAGAGAAGAACGUUGGUGAGAGUGGAAAGCUCAUCAAGUGACGGUAACUACCCAGAAAGGGACGGCUAACUACGUG
RNAcentral lists this ribosomal RNA (497 nucleotides) under uncultured bacterium. RNAcentral describes it as "partial 16S ribosomal RNA". It matches the Rfam family "Bacterial small subunit ribosomal RNA", at positions 28 to 507 of the family's 1533-position model. The record is from RNAcentral.